RNAcentral lists this ribosomal RNA (440 nucleotides) under uncultured bacterium. RNAcentral's name for it is "partial 16S ribosomal RNA". It matches the Rfam family "Bacterial small subunit ribosomal RNA", at positions 339 to 795 of the family's 1533-position model. The record is from RNAcentral.
CUACGGGCUGCUGCAGUGGGGAAUAUUGCACAAUGGAGGAAACUCUGAUGCAGCAACGCCGCGUGGAGGAUGACACUUUUCGGAGCGUAAACUCCUUUUAUAUAGGAAGAAGAUGACGGUACUAUAUGAAUAAGCGCCGGCUAACUCCGUGCCAGCAGGCCGCGGUAAUACGGAGGGCGCAAGCGUUACUCGGAAUCACUGGGCGUAAAGAGCGUGUAGGCGGAUUAAAAAGUCAGAAGUGAAAUCCUAUAGCUUAACUAUAGAACUGCUUCUGAAACUCUUAAUCUAGAAUAUGGGAGAGGUAGAUGGAAUUUCUGGUGUAGGGGUAAAAUCCGUAGAGAUCAGAAGGAAUACCGAUUGCGAAGGCGAUCUACUAGAACAUUAUUGACGCUGAGACGCGAAAGCGUGGGGAGCGAACAGGAUUAGAUACCCCAGUAGUC